GGGUAUGGCCAAGUGGUUAAGGCACCAGACUUUGACUCUGGAACUCGCAGGUUCGACUCCUGCUACCC
This 68-nucleotide transfer RNA is filed under the name uncultured Pseudoramibacter sp. It matches the Rfam family "tRNA". From Rfam's summary of the family: Transfer RNA (tRNA) molecules are approximately 80 nucleotides in length. Their secondary structure includes four short double-helical elements and three loops (D, anti-codon, and T loops). Further hydrogen bonds mediate the characteristic L-shaped molecular structure. tRNAs have two regions of fundamental functional importance: the anti-codon, which is responsible for specific mRNA codon recognition, and the 3' end, to which the tRNAs corresponding amino acid is attached (by aminoacyl-tRNA synthetases). tRNAs cope with the degeneracy of the genetic code in two manners: having more than one tRNA (with a specific anti-codon) for a particular amino acid; and 'wobble' base-pairing, i.e. permitting non-standard base-pairing at the 3rd anti-codon position. The record is from RNAcentral. Lineage: Bacteria; Bacillati; Bacillota; Clostridia; Eubacteriales; Eubacteriaceae.